Molecule: ribosomal RNA, 876 nt
Filed under: uncultured Acinetobacter sp.
Lineage: Bacteria; Pseudomonadati; Pseudomonadota; Gammaproteobacteria; Moraxellales; Moraxellaceae
Description: bacterial SSU rRNA
Rfam family: Bacterial small subunit ribosomal RNA
Source: RNAcentral
GCUUAACACAUGCAAGUCGAGCGGGGAAGGGUAGCUUGCUACCUAACCUAGCGGCGGACGGGUGAGUAAUGCUUAGGAAUCUGCCUAUUAGUGGGGGACAACAUUCCGAAAGGAAUGCUAAUACCGCAUACGCCCUACGGGGGAAAGCAGGGGAUCUUCGGACCUUGCGCUAAUAGAUGAGCCUAAGUCAGAUUAGCUAGUUGGUGGGGUAAAGGCCUACCAAGGCGACGAUCUGUAGCGGGUCUGAGAGGAUGAUCCGCCACACUGGGACUGAGACACGGCCCAGACUCCUACGGGAGGCAGCAGUGGGGAAUAUUGGACAAUGGGCGAAAGCCUGAUCCAGCCAUGCCGCGUGUGUGAAGAAGGCCUUUUGGUUGUAAAGCACUUUAAGCGAGGAGGAGGCUACUUAGAUUAAUACUCUAGGAUAGUGGACGUUACUCGCAGAAUAAGCACCGGCUAACUCUGUGCCAGCAGCCGCGGUAAUACAGAGGGUGCGAGCGUUAAUCGGAUUUACUGGGCGUAAAGCGUGCGUAGGCGGCUUCUUAAGUCGGAUGUGAAAUCCCUGAGCUUAACUUAGGAAUUGCAUUCGAUACUGGGAAGCUAGAGUAUGGGAGAGGAUGGUAGAAUUCCAGGUGUAGCGGUGAAAUGCGUAGAGAUCUGGAGGAAUACCGAUGGCGAAGGCAGCCAUCUGGCCUAAUACUGACGCUGAGGUACGAAAGCAUGGGGAGCAAACAGGAUUAGAUACCCUGGUAGUCCAUGCCGUAAACGAUGUCUACUAGCCGUUGGGGCCUUUGAGGCUUUAGUGGCGCAGCUAACGCGAUAAGUAGACCGCCUGGGGAGUACGGUCGCGAGACUAAAACUCAAAUGAAUUGACGG